This is a long non-coding RNA of Cercocebus atys (sooty mangabey), 345 nucleotides long. RefSeq lists it as uncharacterized. The record is from RefSeq and is a predicted model, not a curated record. Lineage: Eukaryota; Metazoa; Chordata; Mammalia; Primates; Cercopithecidae. The transcript is spliced from 3 exons.
AUGACCUUGUCAACCUCAUAGGCUCACAUGGAUAUUACUUGACACUCGGGCUCCAUUUAGGCACAUAUAGGAGCUCAGCAACAUCUGUCAUAUUCUGGUUGCCACGGUUAAAAAGAGACAUUGCCCGUGGGAGUUGUGCUGGCUAAAUAAUGGCCUCAAAGAUGUCCGCAUCCUAGUCUCUGAGAAUGCGCUGGUUGCCCGGCAAGGGAAAGUGAAGGUUGCAGAUAGAAUGAAGCCUACUCAUCAGCUGACCUCAAGGAGUCGCCAGCUCCUGCAGGACACCACCGCCACCAAGGAACGAACUUUCAGAACAGCUGUACAGAACCUUCCUCUCUUCGCAACGGA